Molecule: ribosomal RNA, 301 nt
Filed under: uncultured bacterium
Lineage: Bacteria
Description: partial 16S ribosomal RNA
Rfam family: Bacterial small subunit ribosomal RNA
Source: RNAcentral
CAGCCGCCGCGGUAAUACGGAGGGUGCAAGCGUUAAUCGGAAUUACUGGGCGUAAAGCGCACGCAGGCGGUCUGACAAGUCAGAUGUGAAAUCCCCGGGCUUAACCUGGGAACUGCAUUUGAAACUGUCAGGCUGGAGUCUUGUAGAGGGGGGUGGAAUUCCAGGUGUAGCGGUGAAAUGCGUAGAGAUCUGGAGGAAUACCGGUGGCGAAGGCGGCCCCCUGGACAAAGACUGACGCUCAGGUGCGAAAGCGUGGGGAGCAAACAGGAUUAGAUACCCGUGUAGUCCCUGUCUCUUAUAA